GACGAACGCUGGCGGCGUGCCUAAUACAUGCAAGUUGAGCGCUGAAGGUUGGUACUUGUACCAACUGGAUGAGCAGCGAACGGGUGAGUAACGCGUGGGGAAUCUGCCUUUGAGCGGGGGACAACAUUUGGAAACGAAUGCUAAUACCGCAUAAAAACUUUAAACACAAGUUUUAAGUUUGAAAGAUGCAAUUGCAUCACUCAAAGAUGAUCCCGCGUUGUAUUAGCUAGUUGGUGAGGUAAAGGCUCACCAAGGCGAUGAUACAUAGCCGACCUGAGAGGGGGAUCGGCCACAUUGGGACUGAGACACGGCCCAACCUCCUACGGGAGGCAGCAGUAGGGAAUCGUCGGCAAUGGACGAAAGUCUGACCGAGCAACGCCGCGUGAGUGAAGAAGGUUUUCGGAUCGUAAAACUCUGUUGGUAGAGAAGAACGUUGGUGAGAGUGGAAAGCUCAUCAAGUGACGGUAACUACCCAGAAAGGGACGGCUAACUACGUG
RNAcentral lists this ribosomal RNA (497 nucleotides) under uncultured bacterium. RNAcentral's name for it is "partial 16S ribosomal RNA". It matches the Rfam family "Bacterial small subunit ribosomal RNA", at positions 28 to 507 of the family's 1533-position model. The record is from RNAcentral.